Molecule: ribosomal RNA, 180 nt
Filed under: uncultured Glomeromycotina
Lineage: Eukaryota; Fungi; Glomeromycota
Description: partial small subunit ribosomal RNA
Rfam family: Eukaryotic small subunit ribosomal RNA (bases 91-180)
Source: RNAcentral
GACCUGGCCGGGCGGUCCGCCUCACGGUGUGUACUGUCUGGCUGGGCCUUACCUCUUGGUGAGCCGGCAUGCCCUUUACUGGGUGUGUCGGGGAACCAGGACUUUUACCUUGAGAAAAUUAGAGUGUUCAAAGCAGGCCUAUGCCUGAAUACGUUAGCAUGGAAUAAUAGAAUAGGACUU